Molecule: small nucleolar RNA, 107 nt
Organism: Oryza sativa Japonica Group (Japanese rice)
Lineage: Eukaryota; Viridiplantae; Streptophyta; Magnoliopsida; Poales; Poaceae
Rfam family: Plant small nucleolar RNA R71
About the family: R71 is a member of the C/D box family of snoRNAs containing the C (UGAUGA) and D (CUGA) box motifs. Multiple nearly identical copies of this snoRNA have been identified in Arabidopsis, and it is thought to function as a 2'-O-ribose methylation guide for 18S ribosomal RNA.
Source: Rfam
AUCCCGUGAUGAGGACAGGCAGCCACAUACUCCUGGAGUUGUUCCCAUGCUUCUGGGAUUGACUCCUCCCUCGUAUGCUGAAAUCCAGAAAUUCUCCUACAAUGGGC